This 402-nucleotide ribosomal RNA is filed under the name uncultured Devosia sp. RNAcentral's name for it is "bacterial SSU rRNA". It matches the Rfam family "Bacterial small subunit ribosomal RNA", at positions 353 to 772 of the family's 1533-position model. Lineage: Bacteria; Pseudomonadati; Pseudomonadota; Alphaproteobacteria; Hyphomicrobiales; Devosiaceae. The record is from RNAcentral.
AGUGGGGAAUAUUGGACAAUGGGCGCAAGCCUGAUCCAGCCAUGCCGCGUGAGUGAUGAAGGCCUUAGGGUUGUAAAGCUCUUUCAGUAGGGAAGAUAAUGACGGUACCUACAGAAGAAGCCCCGGCUAACUUCGUGCCAGCAGCCGCGGUAAUACGAAGGGGGCUAGCGUUGUUCGGAUUUACUGGGCGUAAAGCGCACGUAGGCGGAUCGUUAAGUCAGAGGUGAAAUCCCGGAGCUCAACUCCGGAACUGCCUUUGAUACUGGCGAUCUCGAGUCCGGAAGAGGUAAGUGGAACUCCUAGUGUAGAGGUGGAAUUCGUAGAUAUUAGGAAGAACACCAGUGGCGAAGGCGGCUUACUGGUCCGGAACUGACGCUGAGGUGCGAAAGCGUGGGGAGCAAA